UGAGGAAUAUUGGGCAAUGGGGGCAACCCUGACCCAGCCAUGCCGCGUGAGUGAAGAAGGUCUUCGGAUUGUAAAGCUCUUUCGGACGUGACGAUGAUGACGGUAGCGUCUAAAGAAGCACCGGCAAACUUCGUGCCAGCAGCCGCGGUAAUACGAAGGGUGCGAGCGUUGUUCGGAAUUACUGGGCGUAAAGGGAGUGUAGGCGGAUAUGUAAGAUAGCGGUGAAAUGCCGGGGCUCAACCCCGGAACUGCCAUUAUGACUAUGUAUCUAGAGUAAUGGAGAGGAUAGCGGAAUACCCAGUGUAGAGGUGAAAUUCGUAGAUAUUGGGUAGAACACCGGUGGCGAAGGCGGCUAUCUGGCCAUUUACUGACGCUGAGGCUCGAAAGCAUGGGGAUCAAACAGG
Molecule: ribosomal RNA, 404 nt
Filed under: uncultured bacterium
Lineage: Bacteria
Description: bacterial SSU rRNA
Rfam family: Bacterial small subunit ribosomal RNA
Source: RNAcentral